UUUGAGUUUUGUUUUUCUAGGUUAAAUUGGGUUAAAUUUGUUAUGUUGGUUUUAUGUUUUGUGUACAACAUUGCAUGUUUCUCUUUGAAUUUUGGGUUAUGUACAGGAAAUGGGUAAUUGUUUUCGAAAUAGGAGUUUCUUGGCAUUUUGUGAAUUGAAAUCCUUACCUUCUCUACAUGUCAAGUUAGUUAUGAAAGGUCGAAUUGAA
RNAcentral lists this long non-coding RNA (208 nucleotides) under Glycine max (soybean). RNAcentral describes it as "long non-coding RNA (GMAX_LNC001045)". The record is from RNAcentral. Lineage: Eukaryota; Viridiplantae; Streptophyta; Magnoliopsida; Fabales; Fabaceae.